Molecule: RNA transcript, 1499 nt
Organism: Rosa chinensis
Lineage: Eukaryota; Viridiplantae; Streptophyta; Magnoliopsida; Rosales; Rosaceae
Exons: 3
Source: RefSeq, a predicted model, not a curated record
CCACCUUUGUCAGCUGAAUAAGGAUUCUUCAAUCACAUUUUUGUUAAUUCCACUAAGCGAAAGUGAAGUGCGAUCCGUUUACUCCUUUGUUCUAUUAUUUCAGCAGUCAGAUAACGAGUUCUGCUAAUUUGUUUUUCACGCGGAUCGAGCUUUCUAGCCGUUGAUUUAAUCCAAAUGAGUUUUCAAUACAAUUCAUCACUUUUUUGGAUACAUAAGUUAGAUUUCUCUUCUUCGAUAUAUGCUCUUCUCUGUUUUCUCCCUUAGCUCUCUCUCUCUCUCUCUCUCUCUCUCUCGGUGCUCUUGGGACGACGUAGUUCCUCCAUCGCCGCCUCCACCUUUGCUACUCUCGGUGACCAGAUCAAGUUGGGUCUUUGCAUCUGCAAUCAAAGCCAGGUAUUGGGGAUAUGCCGGAGAGCUUCGCGGCGGAGAUUCUAGACCUGUCCCACUCUCUCUUGAAGCUUCUCAAUCUGGAUCUGGCAUAUCGCUGGACCAUCAACCAUCGUCUUCUCUUUUUCCUGGCAUUCGCUAUCUUAUUAUCUUUUCAUUUUAUUCUUCUGUUGAAGUUUACAACUUUGGGGCUCGUAUCUUAUCUUUAUAUUCUUUUUUACAGCCAUGGAUUCUUCUUUUCAAAACCAAAGAAGGCUACUUUUCUACUGUCAUCGCACAGAGUUGGUAUUCAAGAUUAUGAAUUUCCUGAAGCCAAGGUAGAUUUUUCAAUCAACAACUCAAUUUGCCCAGUUAAACUCUUUAUCAGUAAUUUCUAAUUUAGAUUUCGUGCCUUUCUUGUUAAAGUUUACAAUUUGGCCAUUAAUUAUGUUGAUUUUGCUUCAUUAUUGGGAUUUUAGGAUUGUUUUAGGGUUCAAAUCAUCAAUUGGGUUACUAUCAGGCCUUUGGGUUAUGCCUUGUUGAUUCUUGAUUGAUAUUCAAUUGGGUAAUGGUAGUGGGUAUAAGCACCGAAGCCUCUAUAACCUCAAAUUUUAAUGAUGCCAUGUUCUGCAUCAGUAGAUUGAUUUUCCUGGGCACUAUGUUAAAAUAUCAUCUCUAAAAUACAAUCUUGUGCUGAGAUGUUAUAAAACAAUGUAUAGAAUCUAAUUAGUAGUGUGUUUGCUUCUACAAAACAAUGUAUAGAAUCUAAUUUUGCAGGUAUCUUGAACAAAUGACUAAUUUCUUUUGUUCCUGAUUGGAAUAUUGUCUCAAGAAUACAAACAUGGCAAAGAGAACAGAUGCAGGACUUUGGAAUAUGAAGUUGCUUUGGAAGGAUUUAGUUAUGUGUUUCUUUUUUACAAUUAUGAGCUCUGGGAUCUUAACAUUUCAGGGGAGAAACUUGAAGAAAUAUGUAUACGCUGGGAAUUUGAUUCGAGUGAUGAUUCAAGAUGUGGAAUUUAUUGUACUCUGCGUUGGUCAAUUCAUGAUUUUUUGGAAGGAUUUUUCAUUUAAUGCUAUCUUUUACCGAGAAUGUUAUUGCACCUUUCGAUAUUAAUGUUAUUUUGUAUUCAUCA